AAAAAGGUUUUCUUUAAAACCAAACACACUAUUACAGGUUUUAU
Non-coding RNA from Nelumbo nucifera (sacred lotus), 44 nucleotides. The record is from Rfam. NCBI's taxonomy places the organism in Eukaryota, Viridiplantae, Streptophyta, Magnoliopsida, Proteales, Nelumbonaceae.